AACGAACGCUGGCGGCAUGCCUAACACAUGCAAGUCGAACGAGACCUUCGGGUCUAGUGGCGCACGGGUGCGUAACGCGUGGGAACCUGCCCUUAGGUUCGGAAUAACUCCCCGAAAGGGGUGCUAAUACCGGAUAAGGUCUUCGGACCAAAGAUUUAUCGCCUUUGGAUGGGCCCGCGUUGGAUUAGCUAGUUGGUAGGGUAAAAGCUGCCCAAGGCGACGAUUCAUAGCUGGUCUGAGAGGAUGAUCAGCCACACUGGGACUGAGACACGGCCCAGACUCCUACGGGAGGCAGCAGUGGGGAAUAUUGGACAAUGGGCGAAAGCCUGAUCCAGCAAUGCCGCGUGAGUGAUGAAGGCCUUAGGGUUGUAAAGCUCUUUUACCCGGGAUGAUAAUGACAGUACCGGGAGAAUAAGCUCCGGCUAACUCCGUG
Molecule: ribosomal RNA, 433 nt
Filed under: uncultured bacterium
Lineage: Bacteria
Description: partial 16S ribosomal RNA
Rfam family: Bacterial small subunit ribosomal RNA
Source: RNAcentral